RNAcentral lists this ribosomal RNA (317 nucleotides) under Rhodospirillaceae bacterium. RNAcentral describes it as "bacterial SSU rRNA". It matches the Rfam family "Bacterial small subunit ribosomal RNA", at positions 1 to 330 of the family's 1533-position model. The record is from RNAcentral. Lineage: Bacteria; Pseudomonadati; Pseudomonadota; Alphaproteobacteria; Rhodospirillales; Rhodospirillaceae.
CAUUCAACUUGAGAGUUUGAUCCUGGCUCAGGACGAACGCUGGCGGCAGGCCUAACACAUGCAAGUCGAACGAGAAGCCACCCUUCGGGGUGGUGGGCAGUGGCGAACGGGUGAGUAACGCGUGGGAACCUGCCCUUCGGUACGGGACAACCGCGGGAAACUGCGGCUAAUACCGUAUACUCCCUAAGGGGGAAAGAUUUAUCGCCGAAGGAUGGGCCCGCGUCCGAUUAGCUUGUUGGUGAGGUAAUGGCUCACCAAGGCUCCGAUCGGUCGCUGGUCUGAGAGGAUGAUCAGCCACACUGGGACUGAGAUACGGC